GCGGUAUCGUUCAGUUGGCUGGAAUGUUCGGUUUAUAUCCGAAGGGACUCCGGUUUGAAUCUAGUUACCGCUCCA
This 75-nucleotide transfer RNA is filed under the name Candidatus Faecivivens stercorigallinarum. Its description in RNAcentral is "tRNA-Ile". The record is from RNAcentral. Lineage: Bacteria; Bacillati; Bacillota; Clostridia; Eubacteriales; Oscillospiraceae.